RNAcentral lists this ribosomal RNA (1437 nucleotides) under metagenome. Its description in RNAcentral is "bacterial SSU rRNA". It matches the Rfam family "Archaeal small subunit ribosomal RNA". The record is from RNAcentral.
UUCCGUUGAUCCUGCGGAAGAUCGCUGCUAUCAGAAUUCGAAUUAACUAAGCUAGUUUUGGGGCUCUUCGGAGCACCGGCAGACAGUUCCGUAACACGUCGAUAAUCUGCCCUUAGCAUCGGGAUAGCCUUGGGAAACUGAGGGUAAACCCGAAUAGAAGAAAAGUACUGGAAUGCUUUUUUCUUCAGAAAAGCAAUGGCUAAGGAUGAGUCGGCGUCCGAUUAGGCUGUUGGUGGGGUAAUGGCCCACCAAACCUGUGAUCGGUAGGGGCCUUGAGAGAGGUCGCCUCGAGGAGGACACUGAGAUAAGGGUCCUGACUCUACGGAGUAUAGCAAGUACGAAAACUUUACACUGCACGAAAGUGUGAUAAGGGAAUUCUGAGUGCUUAUGCUUUGCAUAGGCUUUUGCUGAGUGUAAAAAGCUCGGAGAAUAAGUGGUGGGCAAGACUGGUGCCAGCAGCCGCGGUAACACCAGCGCCACAAGUGGGGAUCAGCUUUAUUGGGCUUAAAGCGUUCGUAGUCGGCUUAGUAAAUUUUCUGUGAAAUUGUUUGGCUCAACCAAACAGCGUGCAGAAAACACUGCUAAACUUGAGACCGGGAGGAGUAAGAAGUAUUUUGGGGGUAGCGGUAAAAUGCUAUAAUCCUCGAAAGACUACCAGUAGCGAAGGCGUCUUACUAGAACGGGUCUGACGAUGAGGAACGAAAGCCAGGGGAGCGAACCGGAUUAGAUACCCGAGUAGUCCUGGCUGUAAACGCUGUGAGUUAGGUGUUGCAUAUUCUUCGUGAAUAUGCAGUGUCGUAGCGAAAGUGAUAAACUCACCGCCUGGGAAGUACGGUCGCAAGACUGAAACUUAAAGGAAUUGGCGGGGGAGCACAACAAGGGGUGCGGCGUGCGGUUUAAUCCAACUCAACGCGGAGAAUCUCACCAGGAGCGACGGCAGGAUGAAGGUCAGUCUGAAGGGCUUACCUAACGAGCCGAGAGGUGGUGCAUGGCCGUCGUCAGCUCGUGCCGUGAGGUGUCCUGUUAAGUCAGGCAACGAGCGAGACCUGUACUUACAAUUGCUAUCAACACACUUCGUGGAUUGGGCACAUUGUAGGGACUGCCUUGGAAACAAGGAGGAAGGUGCAGGCAACGAUAGGUCUGUAUGCCCCGAAUCUUCUGGGCUACACGCGCGCAACAAUGGUAGGUACAAAGGGAUACAACUCCGAAAGGAGAAGUUAAUCCUCUAAAACCUAUCUCAGUUCAGAUUGAGGAUUGUAACUCAUCCUCAUGACGUCGGAAUCCCUAGUAAUCGGACUUUAUCAUAGUCCGGUGAAUAUGUCCCUGCUCCUUGCACACACCGCCCGUCAAACCAACCGAGCAGGGUUUUGGUGAACUUUAUCCAUUUAGGUAAGGUGAACCAGAGUUCAGUGAGGUGGGUUAAGUCGUCACAAGGUA